GUGCUUCUUGAAGCCUACAUUCUGGGGAUUCCAAAUAUGCAAUUAGUUUCAAAAAUCCAUGGUUGAAUCUUGAGUUGCUUGGGUUUUUAUUUUAAAACCCUAAGGAGAGUUCUUGAGCAAUUUUGAUGAAUGAAGGUGUAUUUUGGGGUAUUUUGGGACUGAAUUUCGUGUUUAUGGAUAAAUAAGGAUGGAAAAAUAACCAUUUUGCCCUAAAAAUGGAGUGUUUAAGUCACUUGAGUAAUAAUCUAUGCGGUGCACACUUUAUCGCAUAAUAUAGGUUGUGCGGCGCACUCUUUAUCGCACAUAUUAGGUUCUUCAUCGUACACCUUAUGGUAUAAGUUAGGUUGUGCAUCGGACACCCUAUGCUGCACGACACACUCUACUUUACAAAGCCAUAACUUCUUCCUCGGUGUGUUGAAAUUUUGCAAAAUUGGUAUCGUUGGAAAGAUAAUUCGAAUACCUUUC
This 465-nucleotide long non-coding RNA is filed under the name Capsicum annuum. RNAcentral describes it as "long non-coding RNA (CANN_LNC002888)". Lineage: Eukaryota; Viridiplantae; Streptophyta; Magnoliopsida; Solanales; Solanaceae. The record is from RNAcentral.